Molecule: long non-coding RNA, 722 nt
Organism: Anastrepha obliqua
Lineage: Eukaryota; Metazoa; Arthropoda; Insecta; Diptera; Tephritidae
Exons: 2
Source: RefSeq, a predicted model, not a curated record
AAAAAUUAAGAAGCGAAAAAUAAAAAUUUAAAAAGAUGACAAAUAAGAAAAAAAAAACAAAACAAAAACUUAAAUAAACCCAGAAAUAAAAGAGAUAGAAGAGGCACCAAACAACUGUGGCCGUAUAAAAAGCACUUAAAUUAACGCUUAUUGCAAAAUUAUCAUUCAAACUAAACACACAAAAUGCUGGCACACAUGCUGAACUAUGCAUGUGUGUUCAUACAUAUAUGCAAAAUUAGCGACUGAAAGCAAAUCGAGGUGCUGCAAUUAAAUGUGCCACUGCAAUAAAGCAAAAAACAAAAAGAAACUUGGACAAGAGAAGUAGGAACAACAGCAACUAAAGCACCGCGUCAACACAUUAAAAUUUUGACGAUCAAACAACAAAUGAAUAUUUGCAGGCAUAAGGCAUUUACAUAUGUAUAUUCACAAAAAUUAAGAUGACAGCAAUCGCAAGCGCCAACGUCAUCGCUCAGCAUCGGAAAUAUGCAAAAUGCGCUGUUGUAGCUGCAGACUUUACAAAUCGUUUGCAGAGCGACAAAACAAAAAGCUCGUAUUUGCAAUAAUGAAGUCAACAUUAACGUCCGCAAAGGUGGCAAUUACGCGAGCAAACAUUUAGCAUGGAAAUCAAGCUAAAAAAAAUUGUUUUAAAAUAAAAAAAAAUUUUAAUUACAAAACAAAAAUGCUAUUAGAAACGGUAGCAUAUAAUUUACGCACUAUCCAAU